RNAcentral lists this ribosomal RNA (460 nucleotides) under uncultured bacterium. RNAcentral's name for it is "partial 16S ribosomal RNA". It matches the Rfam family "Bacterial small subunit ribosomal RNA", at positions 338 to 795 of the family's 1533-position model. The record is from RNAcentral.
CCUACGGGGAGCAGCAGUGAGGAAUAUUGGUCAAUGGACGCAAGUCUGAACCAGCCAUGCCGCGUGCAGGAAGACGGCUCUAUGAGUUGUAAACUGCUUUUGUACGAGGGUAAACGCAGAUACGCGUAUCUGUCUGAAAGUAUCGUACGAAUAAGGAUCGGCUAACUCCGUGCCAGCAGCCGCGGUAAUACGGAGGAUUCAAGCGUUAUCCGGAUUUAUUGGGUUUAAAGGGUGCGUAGGCGGUCGGAUAAGUUAGAGGUGAAAGCCCGAGGCUCAACUUCGGAAUUGCCUCUGAUACUGUUCGGCUAGAGAGUAGUUGCGGUAGGCGGAAUGUAUGGUGUAGCGGUGAAAUGCUUAGAGAUCAUACAGAACACCGGUUGCGAAGGCAGCUUACCAAGCUACUUCUGACGUUGAGGCACGAAAGCGUGGGGAGCAAACAGGAUUAGAUACCCGUGUAGUC